Molecule: ribosomal RNA, 318 nt
Filed under: uncultured Bacillota bacterium
Lineage: Bacteria; Bacillati; Bacillota
Description: bacterial SSU rRNA
Rfam family: Bacterial small subunit ribosomal RNA
Source: RNAcentral
GACGAACGCUGGCGGCGUGCCUAACACAUGCAAGUCGAACGAAGCAUAGUAAUAUGCUUAGUGGCGGACGGGUGAGUAACGCGUGAACAAUCUGCCCUGUACAAAGGAAUAGCCUCGGGAAACCGGGAUUAAAACCAUAUAACACUUUAGUGCCGCAUGGCACAGAAGUCAAAUUGAUUAAGAGGUAUGGGAUGAGUUCGCGUCUGAUUAGCUAGUUGGUAAGGUAAGAGCUUACCAAGGCGACGAUCAGUAGCCGGCCUGAGAGGGUGAACGGCCACACUGGAACUGAGACACGGUCCAGACACCUACGGGUGGCAG